GAGGAGAAUGAGCACCAAUGGAAGCUGGGCAGAGGAAGAGAAGAGAGGAAGUGGGAGGAAGAAUUUUCUUUGUUCUUUCUUCUCUUUCCCAGAGGGUGAGAGGAGGCAAGAGGGGCCAUGACUGAGGGGGUGAUGGCACCCCUGUGGCCCCUUCCAGCAUACGGCAAUUAAGUGUCUGGAGGGGAGUGCCUUUUCCUAACCCGGCACAAAGAUACCAUAUGGACCAGCUGCAGCUCUGGGCACAGGCUUGAAAAUCUGGUGGCUUUGGUUUUCCCUGUGAGGCAGAUUCUAGGUUAAACAAUCAAGAGAAGCCACAUCCAGACCUGACAUAAAUCAUGAGAUCCUGCUGUUAUGACUGGAUGAGACUUUGGGAGUCUUGGGGAUAAGUGUAUUUUCUAUGUGAGAGGGACAUGAAUAAAUGUAGUCAAGAGAGUGGA
Long non-coding RNA from Felis catus (domestic cat), 437 nucleotides. RefSeq lists it as uncharacterized. Lineage: Eukaryota; Metazoa; Chordata; Mammalia; Carnivora; Felidae. The transcript is spliced from 3 exons. The record is from RefSeq and is a predicted model, not a curated record.